UACGGAGGAUCCAAGCGUUAUCCGGAAUCAUUGGGUUUAAGGGGUCCGUAGGCGGCCUUGUAAGUCAGUGGUGAAAUCUCACGGCUCAACCGUGAAAUGGCCAUUGAUACUGCAGGGCUUGAAUUAUCGGGAAGCAGCUAGAAUAUGUAGUGUAGCGGUAAAAUGCUUAGAUAUUACAUGGAAUACCGAUUGCGAAGGCAGGCUGCUACCGGUGGAUUGACGCUGAUGGACGAAAGCGUGGGGAGCGAACAGGAUUAGAUACCCUGGUAGUCCACGCCGUAAACGAUGGAUACUAGCUGUUGGGGCGCAAGCUUCAGUGGCUAAGCGAAAGUGAUAAGUAUCCCACCUGGGGAGUACGAACGCAAGUUUGAA
Molecule: ribosomal RNA, 372 nt
Filed under: uncultured bacterium
Lineage: Bacteria
Description: bacterial SSU rRNA
Rfam family: Bacterial small subunit ribosomal RNA
Source: RNAcentral